GGCGCACGGGUGCGUAACGCGUAUGCAAUCUACCUUUUGGUUCGGAACAACACGGGGAAACCUGUGCUAAUACCGGAUAAGUCCUUACGGAGAAAGUUUUAAUGCCAAAAGAUGAGCCCGCACUUGAUUAGCUAGUUGGUAAGGUAAUGGCUUACCAAGGCAACGAUCAAUAGCUGUUCUUAGAGGAAGACCAGCCACACUGGGACUGAGAUACGGCCCAGACUCC
Molecule: ribosomal RNA, 226 nt
Filed under: uncultured bacterium
Lineage: Bacteria
Description: partial 16S ribosomal RNA
Rfam family: Bacterial small subunit ribosomal RNA
Source: RNAcentral